GAUGUGUGAUAUUGCGGCUGUUAAUCUAAAAUAUUAAAGAAAUCGGCUAAUUCCCUUAUUUUAUUUUGGGAGCAUAUCUUUCCAUAUACUAAGUAGAUAUGGUACGUUACCUUCUCUCACACAAUACCAUGUAUGCCCUUUUCGAUUUAAUUAACUUUAAUAAACUAAGAAUUAUUAUGACCGUGAGAUCAUUGAGAUUAACGCUUAUGAUGUAUUCUUUAUUCUUCCUACAUUUAGCUUUCUUUUUUGAUCCCUUCCCAUGUUUGUUAGUGUAAGAUUUUGUUUGUGCUAAUUGAAUGUGUGAAUAUGAUGUGGGGUUGUCUAUGAACAUAGUGUUUGUGAAUAUAAUAUGCGUUAUUCAUGUCUAACGUCGACAAUGAAUAUGGUAAGAGUUGGA
This 397-nucleotide long non-coding RNA is filed under the name Salvia miltiorrhiza (redroot sage). Its description in RNAcentral is "long non-coding RNA (SMIL_LNC003988)". Lineage: Eukaryota; Viridiplantae; Streptophyta; Magnoliopsida; Lamiales; Lamiaceae. The record is from RNAcentral.